This 253-nucleotide ribosomal RNA is filed under the name uncultured bacterium. Its description in RNAcentral is "partial 16S ribosomal RNA". It matches the Rfam family "Bacterial small subunit ribosomal RNA", at positions 524 to 776 of the family's 1533-position model. The record is from RNAcentral.
UACGUAGGGUGCAAGCGUUAUCCGGAUUCACUGGGUUUAAAGGGUGCGUAGGUGGGUUGGUAAGUCAGUGGUGAAAUCUCCGAGCUUAACUUGGAAACUGCCAUUGAUACUAUCAGUCUUGAAUAUUGUGGAGGUCAGCGGAAUAUGUCAUGUAGCGGUGAAAUGCUUAGAUAUGACAUAGAACACCAAUUGCGAAGGCAGCUGGCUACACAUAUAUUUACACUGAGGCACGAAAGCGUGGGGAUCAAACAGG